UUUCAAUAGACUGUAGGGUACUUGAAUGACUCCUAGAAUCACUUUAUUCAUUUGAUGCCUUAAUUUUGUUCUUGAGCACUGAUCUUUUUAUAAUGGAAUGCUUCCUGUGUCUCUGUCCACAUUUAGUUCAUUUGUGGGUUGCAUUUCUAAAUGUUACCUCUGUGUCAGGGACUCUCAAAUUCCAGGGCAUGUCUCUGUAGUUUCUGUUUCUUCUUGGUUUUCUAAUAGGCAUUAGUUCUGUUACUUUAUAGUACUUCCUACUGAACAACCAUAUGUGCAAAUAUCACACUCUAGAGAUAGCAUGACUUGCCUCCAGUUUCACUUGAUGGUUGAGGGAGAGAUUACAGGAUUUUCAAGUGAAGAGAGAAGGGCUGGAGCUGAUUUGAUAGUGAUUGUUCUAAUCUGCUCUGGGACUUUAGGAUAGCAGUUUUAGUUACUGCCUUUCAGGAACCACUGUAGCAUGAAACAAAACUCUGUAAUUCCUAAUGGUAACAUGGUGGUCUGGUGAGUAAUUGUUGAAAGAUGUGCUCUGUUUUGGUGGGCUGGUUAGUUUUCAUCAGUUUAACACAAACUUGAGUCACUGAGAGGGAGAGAAUCUCCCGAGUUCUGGGAUUAAAGGCGUGUGCCACCACUAUUGCUGGCUGUUUUAGGGUUAUUAUUGCAGUAACUUAGGGAGGAAAGGGUCUUUUUGGCUCAUGUGUCCACAUUAUGUCAUUGUUCAUCAUUGAAGGAAUCAAGACAGGAGUUCAAAUAUAUGGUAGCUGAACAAAUCAGUAAGCAGAAUUUUUCUAUGGUCUUUGCUUCAGUUUCUGCCUUGGGUUCCAUUAGUGGUAAAGUGUGUCAUGGAAGUGUAAGCUGAAGUAAACCCUUUCCUCUCCCUGGUAGGAGAAAGUCAUCACCCAGAGCAGAGCUUAUCCUCAGAGUUAGAUUAUCUUCAGGGAACCCCCCCUUUUUUUUUCUAUUGGGUUUCCUAUGGCAUUGUAUGACUUCUGAAAUGCUGACUGACCAGGAAUGGGCCUCACAAAGCCAAGAAGCCCAAUUUUUGCCUCAACCAUUGCAUUUUGAAGGAUUCUUUACUAAUGACACACAUGUAUUGGUUAGCCUUACAAUGUGUAGCUGAGCUCCAUUUGUAGUGACUCCCUAGAGAGAAAUGCACCAAAAAAACCCCUUCUGGUGGUGGUCUGACAGAAUCCAUGCUUCAGUCAUGAUGUGUUUGUUUAUAAAACUGAUCAGGUUCAGAUUGUACCAGUAAUGGAGGUUGGAGACAGAUGCCCUUAGCUUUCUUAACUUGCCUAAGCCGGGCUUUUUACUAGCCAACAUCCAGUUCUUCUUACAGUUUCCCACUUUGGAUUCUUUCUUGACUUAAGUUCAUUUCUUCUUUUUCUUCUCCCGUGUAUGUGGUAUAUGUGUGCAUAUUUGCAUAUGUGUGAGUGCAUGUGUGUCUGGAGACCCCUUGUGUGUGUGUAUGGAAGUGUGUGUGAGUAGAGGCCCAAGAUUGACUUUAGGAAUCUUGAAGUGGAAACUUAUGGUUUCUUUGGAAAAUCAGUUGUGUCAGAUGGUGUUUUGCUUGGGCAAACACAUGAAAGAGUGUUUUUUUUUUUUUUAAGCAGACACCGGUGAAAGGAUGUUUUGCAAAAGCAAGCAUUUUGAAGGAUUCUUUACUAAUGACACACAUGUAUUGGUUAGCCUUACAAUGUGUAGCUGAGCUCCAUUUGUAGUGACUCCCUAGAGAGAAAUGCACCAAAAAAAAACCCCUUCUGGUGGUGGUCUGACAGCUUCUUACAGCUUUCAUGAACUUGGCCAAUUGGCAGAGUGAUCUCAGCUGUUGCACACUCACAUGCUGACGCAAGACCCGUGGAGGACACAUGAUGUUUGGAGGGAGUAUAAAUAGGACUCAGUGGACAGUGAUGAGGCUUGCAUAGCUAGCUUUGCAAUGCUUCUUGGUCUUGUGUCUUCACUAAUCUUUCUUUGAACAGUAGAGGAAUUCUCCUGGCAUCCCUGCUGGCCCUGGUCACUCCCACUGAUUUGUGCCAAUUCGGCAGAGGCCUAGCUGUUUCUGCUGGGUAGUGCCACCACUGCUGAUUUGUGUUUGCUAUCCUGACAUUAUUGAGCUGGACUGCUGGUAUGUUUGUGAAGUAUUUGCGAGUGGACUGACAUGGAAC
This 2162-nucleotide long non-coding RNA is filed under the name Mus musculus (house mouse). RNAcentral describes it as "long non-coding RNA chr11:21573400-21575562". The record is from RNAcentral. Lineage: Eukaryota; Metazoa; Chordata; Mammalia; Rodentia; Muridae.